CCUACGGGAGGCAGCAGUGGGGAAUAUUGGACAAUGGGCGAAAGCCUGAUCCAGCCAUGCCGCGUGUGUGAAGAAGGCCUUCGGGUUGUAAAGCACUUUCAGUGGGGAAGAAAGCCUUGGGGCUAAUACCCUCGAGGAAGGACAUCACCCACAGAAGAAGCACCGGCUAACUCCGUGCCAGCAGCCGCGGUAAUACGGAGGGUGCGAGCGUUAAUCGGAAUUACUGGGCGGAAAGCGCGCGUAGGCGGUCUGAUAAGCCGGUUGUGAAAGCCCCGGGCUCAACCUGGGAACGGCAUCCGGAACUGUCAGGCUAGAGUGCAGGGGAGGAAGGUAGAAUUCCCGGUGUAGCGGUGAAAUGCGUAGAGAUCGGGAGGAAUACCAGUGGCGAAGGCGGCCUUCUGGACUGACACUGACGCUGAGGUGCGAAAGCGUGGGUAGCAAACAGGAUUAGAUACCCUGGUAGUC
RNAcentral lists this ribosomal RNA (465 nucleotides) under Vreelandella stevensii. RNAcentral's name for it is "partial 16S ribosomal RNA". It matches the Rfam family "Bacterial small subunit ribosomal RNA", at positions 338 to 795 of the family's 1533-position model. The record is from RNAcentral. Lineage: Bacteria; Pseudomonadati; Pseudomonadota; Gammaproteobacteria; Oceanospirillales; Halomonadaceae.